This 1478-nucleotide ribosomal RNA is filed under the name uncultured Bordetella sp. Its description in RNAcentral is "partial 16S-23S ribosomal RNA intergenic spacer". It matches the Rfam family "Bacterial small subunit ribosomal RNA". Lineage: Bacteria; Pseudomonadati; Pseudomonadota; Betaproteobacteria; Burkholderiales; Alcaligenaceae. The record is from RNAcentral.
GUUUGAUUAUGGCUCAGAUUGAACGCUGGCGGGAUGCUUUACAUGCAAGUCGAACGGCAGCACGGACUUCGGUCUGGUGGCGAGUGGCGAACGGGUGAGUAAUGUAUCGGAACGUGCCUAGUAGCGGGGAUAACUACGCGAAAGCGUAGCUAAUACCGCAUACGCCCUUCGGGGGAAAGCGGGGACCUCGGGCCUCGCACUAUUAGAGCGGCCGAUACCGGAUUAGCUAGCUUGGUGGGGUAACGGUCACCGAAGGCGACGAUCCGUAGCUGGUUUGAGAGGACGACCAGCCACACUGGGACUGAGACACGGCCCAGACUCCUACGGGAGGCAGCAGUGGGGAAUUUUGGACAAUGGGGAAACCCUGAUCCAGCCAUCCCGCGUGUGCGAUGAAGCGCCCUUCGCUGGAAAGCACUUUGGCAGGAAAGAAACGGCACGGGAUAAUACCCCGUGCAACUGACGGUACCUGCAGAAUAAGCACUGGCUAACUACGUGCCAGCAGCCGCGGUAAUACGUAGGGUAAGCGUUAAUCGGAAUUACUGGGCGAAGCGGUGCAGGCGGUUCGAAAGAAAGAUGUGAAAUCCCAGAGCUUAACUUUGGAACUGCAUUUUUAACUACCGAGCUAGAGUGUGUCAGGGAGGGAGGUGGAAUUCCGCGUGUAGCAGUGAAAUGCGUAGAUAUGCGGAGGAACACCGAUGGCGAAGGGGCAGCCUCCUGGGAUAACACUGACGCUCAUGCACGAAAGCGUGGGGAGCAAACAGGAUUAGAUACCCUGGUAGUCCACGCCCUAAACGAUACUGGCUCGAUGUUGGGGCCUUCGGGCUCUGGUGUAGCGCAGCUAACGCGUGAAGUUGACCGCCUGGGGAGUACGGUCGCAAGAUUAAAACUCAAAGGAAUUGACGGGGACUCGCACAAGCGGUGGAUGAUGAUUAAUUCGAUGCAACGCGAAAAACCUUACCUUACCCUUGACAUGUCUGGAAUCCUGAAGAGAUUUGGAGUGCUCGCAAGAGAACCGGAACACAGGUGCUGCAUGGCUGUCGCUUCUAGCUCGUGUCGUGAGAUGUUGCUAAGUCCCAACGAGCGCAACCCUUGUCAUUAGUUGCUACGAAAGGGCACUCUAAUGAGACUGCCGGUGACAAACCGGAGGAAGGUGGGGAUGACGUCAAGUCCUCAUGGCUCCUGCGGUAGGGCUUCACACUUCGGUCAUACAAUGGCUCGGACAGAGGGUCGCCAACCCGCGAGGGGGAGCCAAUCCCAGAAACCCGAUCGUAAACCGGAUCGCAGUCUGCAACUCGACUGCGUGAAGUCGGAAUCGUUAGUAAUCGCGGAUCAGCAUGUCGCGGUGAAUACGUUCCCGGUCUUGUACACACCGCCCGUCACACCAUGGGAGUGGUUUCUACCAGAAGUAGUUAGCUCAACUGUAAGGAGGGCGAUUACCACGGUAGGAUUCACGACUGGGGGUGAAGUCGUAACAAGGU